This 75-nucleotide transfer RNA is filed under the name Prosthecobacter gellanilyticus. RNAcentral's name for it is "tRNA-Thr". It matches the Rfam family "tRNA". Rfam says of the family: Transfer RNA (tRNA) molecules are approximately 80 nucleotides in length. Their secondary structure includes four short double-helical elements and three loops (D, anti-codon, and T loops). Lineage: Bacteria; Pseudomonadati; Verrucomicrobiota; Verrucomicrobiia; Verrucomicrobiales; Verrucomicrobiaceae. The record is from RNAcentral. RNAcentral also lists the same sequence under 3 other names.
GCCGAAGUAGCUCAGCGGUAGAGCAGCGCAUUCGUAAUGCGCGGGUCGCGGGUUCGAUUCCCGCCUUCGGCUCCA